UACGUAGGGGCAAGCGUUAUCCGGAUUUACUGGGUGUAAAGGGAGCGCAGACGGAACUGCAAGUCUGAUGCGAAAGCCCGGGGCUCAACCGCGGGACUGCAUUGGAAACUGUAGAUCUGGAGUGCCGGAGGGGCAAGCGGAAUUCCUGGUGUAGCGGUGAAAUGCGUAGAUAUCAGGAGGAACACCGGCGGCGAAGGCGGCUUGCUGGACGGCAACUGACGUUGAGGCUCGAAAGCGUGGGGAGCAAACAGGAUUAGAUACCCUGGUA
This 268-nucleotide ribosomal RNA is filed under the name uncultured prokaryote. RNAcentral describes it as "partial 16S ribosomal RNA". It matches the Rfam family "Bacterial small subunit ribosomal RNA", at positions 524 to 792 of the family's 1533-position model. The record is from RNAcentral.